Passer domesticus (house sparrow) is the source of this 532-nucleotide long non-coding RNA. RefSeq lists it as uncharacterized. The transcript has 3 exons. NCBI's taxonomy places the organism in Eukaryota, Metazoa, Chordata, Aves, Passeriformes, Passeridae. The record is from RefSeq and is a predicted model, not a curated record.
UUGGCCGCUGUGUUCACAUGCUCUUCACCCUGCUCCUGCCCACUCUGCUUUUCACCUGCCCCCUGAUAACCCAUUCAGUCCUGAAAGAUCCUUAGUGUCUCGAUUUCAUCAUCCAGCCCUGCAGGAUGCUCCCAUUUCUCCUGAGGAUGGCUGUCCCAGACAGAGAGGAGGAGAUGGAGGUAGAUACAAAGAUUGAUAUGGAGGAGGAGAUGGAAAUGGAUGGAGAAGACCCUGGAGAGGAAGAGAUGGACGUGUAUGUGGAUGAGGAAGAAGAGAUGGAUGUGGAUAUGGAAGAGUCCAUUGAGGACAUGGACAUUGAUUAAAAAGGUGCGAUGGACAUCAUGGAGGGAGAUGCCACCUUUUUCUACAUACGGUUUACACUUUGAUGUUGUCUUUAGGAUAUAGCUUUUAUGGUGUUUGUCUUCUAUAAAUACGUUUCAUAUAUUUUUUGUUAGAUAGGUUUUUCUGUAUAUAUGUUCUAUCAAUUGUUGUUGUUACAAAUAUUCUUGCAAUGUAAAUAUAUUCUGUAUUU